Molecule: RNA transcript, 1339 nt
Organism: Cimex lectularius (bed bug)
Lineage: Eukaryota; Metazoa; Arthropoda; Insecta; Hemiptera; Cimicidae
Exons: 3
Source: RefSeq, a predicted model, not a curated record
AAUAUAGAAUUAUUUAAAUAAACGGUCAAUCUUUCUCAGUUAUUGCUUGUAAUACUUAUCAUACGAGACAUGUUUAUAUAAAUUUCACCAUUGAUUGAAAAUGUAGUUAGUAUAUUAGAAAAUAUGGAUAGUAUUUCUAGUUCAAAAGAAAAAUACCACGUUUUUUAUUUUGUCCAGUUGCAAGUCCUAACUAUCUGCGAUGAGCAGCUUGCUAUUAUUAAAAUAUAGAUUUUUUUUGCAUUUUUAUGUAUUAUUCUAUGUGUGUUUACAGUAAUAAAGAAGAAUAAAUCAAAACGUAAAAAUUUCUUUUGAAUACUUCUGAACUGACCUAUGUUGUGUUUUAGGCCAUUAUUCGACGAAAGGACGCACAAAACUUGUGGCAAAUCACAUGAUGUGCCAUUUGCGAAAAUACCUCGGUGGCACAUAAGGCAAAGAUAUACUACAAAUCGAAGUAUGUUCUGUCCUAAUCAACGGCGAAUGGGAAAUGGAACAAAAGACCUUUAAAAGCAGUUCCGCUUCACCUGAUCCCACAACGAGCCGACCAUCUCUUGGAACCGGGCCAGUUCUUCCAACAGUGCUCUAAAAAUAAGUGAGAUGUGCCAACCUUGAAACAUGUUCGAGAACUCGCUCAAAACAACCUGUUGACUGUACUGAAAGAACAAUUAGAGACAUUGAGGAUGACACACAAACAAGUUCCGUUGAGGCGAAAAACCCUAACAGGUAACAUAAACCUAAUUUUCCUGUGAUUACUGGUAAGUGUUGUAAAAAAAAAACAACAAUUUGUGAUGUCUCCAAAAGCUGAUUGUGGUGUGUGGAUAUUCAAAACUAUUUAUUAUGAUGUAGAUCGAGGAUUAAUAACAAAAAUAUGAUUGUGAUAAAAGUCUUGAAAGAAGAAACCUGUUCUCUGUGACCCUGAUUUGAUCAAAAUUGAAGUUAAUUGAUUCGUACAAUUCAAUUGAUUGAAAACUACGAUAAAAAACACAAAAAUUGUAUACUAGUUUUUAAUUAAAAACUUAUGUUUUGUUUAACAGCAUCAUAUGGUGUUCAUCCAACCCAUGAUUAUUAAAGAAAACCUUUUUGGUGUCAUUAAAACGUGUAUAUGUUUCGAAUUGUAAAUUAGGUAUAAAUUUUGUAAACUUUCAAUAUUAGAAUAAUGGCGUUUGUAUUUGAUCAAUAUAAAAUAGAUAAAAGUUUGUAAAUCAAGUGAUGUCUUUUGUGGGCUGUUGUUGAAUAAAUAUUUACUUUUGGUCUUAUUUAAAAUUUUAAUAUUUCUAUAUUCAUAAUCCUUUAGAGGUAAUUUCAUUUGGCUAGAUGUCUAUUUUCCAACCUGAAACAUCGG